This 559-nucleotide ribosomal RNA is filed under the name uncultured Bacilli bacterium. RNAcentral describes it as "bacterial SSU rRNA". It matches the Rfam family "Bacterial small subunit ribosomal RNA", at positions 68 to 607 of the family's 1533-position model. Lineage: Bacteria; Bacillati; Bacillota; Bacilli. The record is from RNAcentral.
GAUUUACUUCGGUAAUGACGUUGGGAAAGCGAGCGGCGGAUGGGUGAGUAACACGUGGGGAACCUGCCCCUAAGUCUGGGAUACCAUUUGGAAACAGGUGCUAAUACCGGAUAAUAAAGCAGAUCGCAUGAUCAGCUUUUGAAAGGCGGCGUAAGCUGUCGCUAAGGGAUGGCCCCGCGGUGCAUUAGCUAGUUGGUAAGGUAACGGCUUACCAAGGCGACGAUGCAUAGCCGAGUUGAGAGACUGAUCGGCCACAUUGGGACUGAGACACGGCCCAAACUCCUACGGGAGGCAGCAGUAGGGAAUCUUCCACAAUGGACGCAAGUCUGAUGGAGCAACGCCGCGUGAGUGAAGAAGGUUUUCGGAUCGUAAAGCUCUGUUGUUGGUGAAGAAGGAUAGAGGUAGUAACUGGCCUUUAUUUGACGGUAAUCAACCAGAAAGUCACGGCUAACUACGUGCCAGCAGCCGCGGUAAUACGUAGGUGGCAAGCGUUGUCCGGAUUUAUUGGGCGUAAAGCGAGCGCAGGCCGGAAAAAUAAGUCUAAUGUGAAAGCCCUCGG